UACGAAGGGGGCUAGCGUUGUUCGGAAUUACUGGGCGUAAAGCGCACGUAGGCGGAUUUGUUAGUCAGGGGUGAAAUCCCGGGGCUCAACCCCGGAACUGCCUUUGAUACUGCAAAUCUUGAGUCCGAGAGAGGUGAGUGGAAUUCCUAGUGUAGAGGUGAAAUUCGCAGAUAUUAGGAAGAACACCAGUGGCGAAGGCGGCUCACUGGCUCGGUACUGACGCUGAGGUGCGAAAGCGUGGGGAGCAAAC
This 250-nucleotide ribosomal RNA is filed under the name uncultured prokaryote. RNAcentral's name for it is "partial 16S ribosomal RNA". It matches the Rfam family "Bacterial small subunit ribosomal RNA", at positions 524 to 773 of the family's 1533-position model. The record is from RNAcentral.